RNAcentral lists this ribosomal RNA (464 nucleotides) under uncultured bacterium. Its description in RNAcentral is "bacterial SSU rRNA". It matches the Rfam family "Bacterial small subunit ribosomal RNA", at positions 917 to 1382 of the family's 1533-position model. The record is from RNAcentral.
GGGCCCGCACAAGCAGCGGAGCAUGUGGUUUAAUUCGAAGCAACGCGAAGAACCUUACCAGGGCUUGACAUCCCUUGACAGUCAUGGAAACAUGAUUUCUCUUCGGAGCAAGGAGACAGGUGGUGCAUGGUUGUCGUCAGCUCGUGUCGUGAGAUGUUGGGUUAAGUCCCGCAACGAGCGCAACCCCUACCCUUAGUUACCAGCGCGUAAAGGCGGGAACUCUAGGGGGACCGCCGAGGACAACUCGGAGGAAGGUGGGGACGACGUCAAAUCAUCAUGCCCCUUAUGUUCUGGGCUACACACGUGCUACAAUGGCCGCAACAAAGGGAAGCGAAAGUGUAAGCUUAAGCGGAUCUCAAAAAAGCGGUCCCAGUUCGGAUUGUGGGCUGCAACCCGCCCACAUGAAGUCGGAGUUGCUAGUAAUCGCGAAUCAGCAUGUCGCGGUGAAUACGUUCCCGGGCCUU